Molecule: long non-coding RNA, 1860 nt
Organism: Bombus impatiens (common eastern bumble bee)
Lineage: Eukaryota; Metazoa; Arthropoda; Insecta; Hymenoptera; Apidae
Exons: 5
Source: RefSeq, a predicted model, not a curated record
CACUAUGUGUUUUCCUGGGAAAAGACAAACACGAACGAGCGUCGUUUUUGUUACGAGUCAUUUAAUUAUCAAAGAAGUACUUUCCAUCCAUCUUAAUUGCCAUACAUCGCUAAAAGAGCAAAUUCCAAAGGAAGAAUGAAAGAAAGUCAACAUGUUGAAAAAGACGUUCACGCUGUGAGUCUGGUGUACGCACGAACAGCUGGAAUCUCCUUCAGUCACCAGCGGGAUCCAUUCAGAAUCACCGACGCGACAGCUGAAGGACGUUGUUUUCCUACGACAAAUUACGCGCGCGUUCGCCGCUUUCGACGCGCGGCGUCGACGCGUGUGCGUGUAAUCCUCCCGUGUUGUCUACACACACCAACACACAACGUACGCACACCAUAACGCUGACCUACCCCACUGAGAAUCGUGUUUCAAUACAGAAACCGAAAACCAUAUCAUUACGCUGAAGCUCGUAGCAAACUUUCGUAGCAAAUGCGCGCGCGCAAUCGACUAACCUUUGCGAGGGCCAGUUAGCGCGUUUCACAGGUGUGUGUUAAUCGACGCGAUAAUCGAGUACGCGUGCCACUAAGAAAACAUUUUUCUGCAGUAAGAUCGAUGGAGUGUUUGGAGUAAGAAUGACGGAGAGUUUAGAUGCGUACAUAUAGUGGAGAGCCGGAGGUGGGAAUCUUACGGGCGUUGCGAUAAGGCACACAUUAAUUGAAGAACAACAUCCGGCAUGGAGCCGGUGGCCGACGUCGUGACAUCAUUGUCUACGACAGAACGAAAAUGGAAUUAAACGAAGCACCAUCGGCCUGAGCCGAUUCAAAGCAAAGGAUACUGUGAGCUUCCUUUGACACAACGCAUCCCUAAAAUUUACUCAUCGGCUCACAAAACCCUUUCAAACACCCGGAGGUAACGUGGGUGGAGGGCAAUAAUAUCCACGUGCACGAAGGCGAGCACACGAAGCAAGCAAGAAAAUAAACAAACGAGUAAGAAAGAAAGAAAGAAAGAAGAGGCGGUUGGACAAGGCGCAUCGCGUACGCGCGCGUAGCUCGUGUCCGGUCAGCCGUUAAGAAGGAAGCUUCAGGCCGAUGUCGAAGAUAAGACCGGGGACGUGUCCCUCUGUGCGUGGCAUUCUGCCGGAGAAAUGGUACCGAAGUUCGGGGACCAACGAGUGUGCUGGGCCCUCACGUAAUCCACGGAUACGUCGCGACGAAUUUGUACGUCUGCCCAAUGAGCCAGAAGCCACCCUGCGUUAGCCUCGUUUCGCGUUCACCGUUCUUCUCCUCUUUUCGGACCGUUCCACCGAGGAGAAGCUACAAAACUGGGCCCAUCCACCUUCAAAAUGGCUACCGUCUCCACGUCGGUGGACAGCCGAUGUAAACUACAAGUGCUCCUCUCGAACACAAGCUGCCUCGUCGAUCCCUCGUCGAUCGCGUCGCCGGUUUUUUCGAUUUCUUCAAAGUGGCAACGCUUGCUUUUCGGGAAGACGUCGAUAGAUCCUGAACAUAGGAUAGGAUAGAGAGGGAGAGACAAAGAGACAGAGAGAGAUAUUUCUUUGAUCGGUACGAGGAUCGAGUGUUUCUGACAACACUGGGUUUGGGUUGGUUGAGUUGGUUGGGUUUGUUGGCAUUGAUAGAGAUUGGAGCUUUUAGAAGUUUAACGUUUUGCGUAUGUACAUCUACGUUGAUUGGAGUUUAGUGGGUUUUUUAAUAGGAAAUGUACUAAUGCUAGAGUUACUGACCUUUAAUAUGUAUCUAAGUAUGUGACAUACUCAGAUCAUUAGAAUUCAACCAAUGAUAUAUGUACUUAAUCAUAAUUCUGGCCUACAAAUGAAUAUUAAUAUUAGCAAAAACACUUGCAUGUUUUUAGUAAUUU